CUAUAUAGUGCACUACUUUAGACCAGAGCCCUAUUCCCUAUAUAGUACACUACUAUAGACCAGAGCCCUAUUCCCUAUAUAGUGCACUACUUUAGACCAGAGCCCUAUUCCCUAUAUAGUGCACUACUUUAGACCAGAGCCCUAUUCCCUAUAUAGUACACUACUUUAUACUAUAUAUUAUAUAGUUCUAGAAGGUUCUUUGUGAUUGACCCCAACCCUGUCCUCUGUUUACAGUAAUAGUUCUAGAAGGUUCUUUGUGUUUGACCCCAACCCUGUCCUCUGUUUACAGUAAUAGUUCUAGAAGGUUCUUUGUGUUUGACCCCAACCCUGUCCUCUGUUUACAGUAAUAGUUCUGGAAGGUUCUUUGUGUUUGACCCUAACCCUGUCCUCUGUUUACAGUAAUAGUUCUAGAAGGUUCUUUGUGUUUGACCCCAACCCUGUCCUCUGUUUACAGUAAUAGUUCUAGAAGGUUCUUUGUGUUUGACCCCAACCCUGUCCUCUGUUUACUGUAAUAGUUCUAGAAGGUUCUUUGUGUUUGACCCCAACCCUGUCCUCUGUUUACUGUAAUAGUUCUAGAAGGUUCUUUGUGUUUGACCCUAACCCUGUCCUCUGUUUACAGUAAUAGUUCUAGAAGGUUCUUUGUGAUUGACCCCAACCCUGUCCUCUGUUUACAGUAAUAGUUCUAGAAGGUUCUUUGUGUUUGACCCCAACCCUGUCCUCUGUUUACAGUAAUAGUUCUAGAAGGUUCUUUGUGAUUGACCCCAACCCUGUCCUCUGUUUACAGUAAUAGUUCUAGAAGGUUCUUUGUGAUUGACCCCAACCCUGUCCUCUGUUUACAGUAAUAGUUCUAGAAGGUUCUUUGUGAUUGACCCCAACCCUGUCCUCUGUUUACAGUAAUAGUUCUAGAAGGUUCUUUGUGAUUGACCCCAACCCUGUCCUCUGUUUACAGUAAUAGUUCUAGAAGGUUCUUUGUGAUUGACCCCAACCCUGUCCUCUGUUUACAGUAAUAGUUCUAGAAGGUUCUUUGUGAUUGACCCCAACCCUGUCCUCUGUUUACAGUAAUAGUUCUAGAAGGUUCUUUGUG
This is a long non-coding RNA of Oncorhynchus keta (chum salmon), 1084 nucleotides long. RefSeq lists it as uncharacterized. The record is from RefSeq and is a predicted model, not a curated record. Lineage: Eukaryota; Metazoa; Chordata; Actinopteri; Salmoniformes; Salmonidae. The transcript is spliced from 4 exons.